RNAcentral lists this ribosomal RNA (398 nucleotides) under uncultured bacterium. Its description in RNAcentral is "partial 16S ribosomal RNA". It matches the Rfam family "Bacterial small subunit ribosomal RNA", at positions 523 to 918 of the family's 1533-position model. The record is from RNAcentral.
AUACGUAGGGUGCGAGCGUUGUCCGGAAUUACUGGGCGUAAAGAGCUCGUAGGUGGUUUGUCGCGUCGUCUGUGAAAUUCCGGGGCUUAACUCCGGGCGUGCAGGCGAUACGGGCAUAACUUGAGUACUGUAGGGGAGACUGGAAUUCCUGGUGUAGCGGUGAAAUGCGCAGAUAUCAGGAGGAACACCGGUGGCGAAGGCGGGUAUAUGGGCAGUAACUGGAGCUGAGGAGCGAAAGCAGGGGGAGCGAACAGUAUUAGAUACCCGGGUAGUCCAUGCUGUAAACGGUGGGCGCUAGGUGUAGGGGUCUUCCACGACUUCUGUGCCGUAGCUAACGCAUUAAGCGCCCCGCCUGGGGAGUACGGCCGCAAGGCUAAAACUCAAAGGAAUUGACGGGG